GACGAACGCUGGCGGCGUGCUUAACACAUGCAAGUUGAACGGAAAGGCCUCUUUCGGGGGGUACUCGAGUGGCGAACGGGUGAGUAACACGUGAGUAACCUGCCCUUGACUUUGGGAUAACUUCAGGAAACUGGGGCUAAUACCGGAUAGGAGCUCCUGCUGCAUGGUGGGGGUUGGAAAGUUUCGGCGGUUGGGGAUGGACUCGCGGCUUAUCAGCUUGUUGGUGGGGUAGUGGCUUACCAAGGCUUUGACGGGUAGCCGGCCUGCGAGGGUGACCGGCAACAUUGGGACUGCGAUACGGCCCAGACUCCUACGGGAGGCAGCAGUGGGGAAUAUUGCACAAUGGGUGGAAGCCUGAUGCAGCAACGCCGUGUGCGGGAUGACGGCCUUCGGGUUGUAGACCGCUUUCGCUCAUGACGAAGCUUUGUGUGACGGUAGUGGGUAAAGAAGCACCGGCUAACUACGUG
This 467-nucleotide ribosomal RNA is filed under the name uncultured bacterium. Its description in RNAcentral is "partial 16S ribosomal RNA". It matches the Rfam family "Bacterial small subunit ribosomal RNA", at positions 28 to 507 of the family's 1533-position model. The record is from RNAcentral.